GUGCUCACUUCAGCAGCACAUGCACUAAAAUAGGAAUGAUACAGAGAAGAUUAGCAUGGCCCCUGUGCAAGGAUAGCACAGGAAUUCCUGAAGCUUUCCAUAUUUUC
This 107-nucleotide small nuclear RNA is filed under the name Suricata suricatta (meerkat). The record is from RNAcentral. Lineage: Eukaryota; Metazoa; Chordata; Mammalia; Carnivora; Herpestidae.